GGGGGUAUAGCUCAGUGGUAGAGAGCAUGUUUAGCUAUGCCUGAUGUCCUGGGUUCAAUCCCCAGUACCUCCU
RNAcentral lists this transfer RNA (73 nucleotides) under Camelus bactrianus (Bactrian camel). It matches the Rfam family "tRNA". From Rfam's summary of the family: Transfer RNA (tRNA) molecules are approximately 80 nucleotides in length. Their secondary structure includes four short double-helical elements and three loops (D, anti-codon, and T loops). The record is from Rfam by way of RNAcentral. RNAcentral also lists the same sequence under 2 other names. Lineage: Eukaryota; Metazoa; Chordata; Mammalia; Artiodactyla; Camelidae.